GCACUGAUCCCCAGGGGAACACUGCUUUUGACUUGAGGCCUUGGAGAAGGCUUCCAAAUUUGGGUGAUGGAGUUAGAAUCACUGGGGGGUGUUUAAAUAGAAGUGUGUGAUUUCACAUGGUAAAGGGUUU
Non-coding RNA from Sturnus vulgaris (Common starling), 130 nucleotides. The record is from RefSeq and is a predicted model, not a curated record. Lineage: Eukaryota; Metazoa; Chordata; Aves; Passeriformes; Sturnidae.